Molecule: small nucleolar RNA, 133 nt
Organism: Otolemur garnettii (small-eared galago)
Lineage: Eukaryota; Metazoa; Chordata; Mammalia; Primates; Galagidae
Source: Ensembl
AAGCAAUAAUUGCUGUUCCUCAUUCCUUUGAGAGCAAGAAUAUAUUCAUAACAUGCUACAUUAAAAAAGGAGUUCUCAGGGCUGCCAACCUUACAGUAGGGGUUGAGUAGUAGUAUAAUUACCUUCGUUACUG